This 497-nucleotide ribosomal RNA is filed under the name uncultured bacterium. RNAcentral describes it as "partial 16S ribosomal RNA". It matches the Rfam family "Bacterial small subunit ribosomal RNA", at positions 28 to 507 of the family's 1533-position model. The record is from RNAcentral.
GACGAACGCUGGCGGCGUGCCUAAUACAUGCAAGUUGAGCGCUGAAGGUUGGUACUUGUGCCGACUGGAUGAGCAGCGAACGGGUGAGUAACGCGUGGGGAAUCUGCCUUUGAGCGGGGGACAACAUUUGGAAACGAAUGCUAAUACCGCAUAAAAACUUUAAACACAAGUUUUAAGUUUGAAAGAUGCAAUUGCAUCACUCAAAGAUGAUCCCGCGUUGUAUUAGCUAGUUGGUGAGGUAAAGGCUCACCAAGGCGAUGAUACAUAGCCGACCUGAGAGGGUGAUCGGCCACAUUGGGACUGAGACACGGCCCAAACUCCUACGGGAGGCAGCAGUAGGGAAUCUUCGGCAAUGGACGAAAGUCUGACCGAGCAACGCCGCGUGAGUGAAGAAGGUUUUCGGAUCGUAAAACUCUGUUGGUAGAGAAGAACGUUGGUGAGAGUGGAAAGCUCAUCAAGUGACGGUAACUACCCAGAAAGGGACGGCUAACUACGUG